RNAcentral lists this ribosomal RNA (483 nucleotides) under uncultured bacterium. RNAcentral describes it as "bacterial SSU rRNA". It matches the Rfam family "Bacterial small subunit ribosomal RNA", at positions 28 to 507 of the family's 1533-position model. The record is from RNAcentral.
GAUGAACGCUAGCUACAGGCUUAACACAUGCAAGUCGAGGGGUAGCAGGGUAGCAAUACCGCUGACGACCGGCGCACGGGUGAGUAACACGUAUCCAACCUUCCCAUCACUCGGGGAUAGCCUUUCGAAAGAAAGAUUAAUACCCGAUAGUACUUUUUUGAGGCAUCUUGAGAAAGUUAAAGAUUUAUUGGUGAUGGAUGGGGAGUGCGUUCCAUUAGAUUGUUGGUGAGGUAACGGCUCACCAAGUCUUCGAUGGAUAGGGGUUCUGAGAGGAAGGUCCCCCACAUUGGUACUGAGACACGGACCAAACUCCUACGGGAGGCAGCAGUGAGGAAUAUUGGUCAAUGGGCGAGAGCCUGAACCAGCCAAGUAGCGUGAAGGAUGAAGGUCCUAUGGAUUGUAAACUGCUUUUCCCCGGGGCGAAUAACCCCCUCGCGAGGGGGAGUGCCGGUACCGGGGAAGUAAGGAUCGGCUAACUCCGUG